Molecule: ribosomal RNA, 488 nt
Filed under: uncultured bacterium
Lineage: Bacteria
Description: partial 16S ribosomal RNA
Rfam family: Bacterial small subunit ribosomal RNA
Source: RNAcentral
AUUGAACGCUGGCGGCAGGCCUAACACAUGCAAGUCGAACGGUAGCACAGAGAGCUUGCUCUCGGGUGACGAGUGGCGGACGGGUGAGUAAUGUCUGGGAAACUGCCUGAUGGAGGGGGAUAACUACUGGAAACGGUAGCUAAUACCGCAUAACGUCGCAAGACCAAAGAGGGGGACCUUCGGGCCUCUUGCCAUCAGAUGUGCCCAGAUGGGAUUAGCUAGUAGGUGGGGUAACGGCUCACCUAGGCGACGAUCCCUAGCUGGUCUGAGAGGAUGACCAGCCACACUGGAACUGAGACACGGUCCAGACUCCUACGGGAGGCAGCAGUGGGGAAUAUUGCACAAAGGGCGCAAGCCUGAUGCAGCCAUGCCGCGUGUAUGAAGAAGGCCUUCGGGUUGUAAAGUACUUUCAGCGGGGAGGAAGGUGCUGAGGUUAAUAACCUCAGCAAUUGACGUUACCCGCAGAAGAAGCACCGGCUAACUCCGUG